AAGAUUUUAAGUUAUAAAAUAAACUCUAAACCUUCAAAGUUUAAUAAAUAAUUUUUUUAUAAAUCUUA
This 68-nucleotide transfer RNA is filed under the name Pheidole yeensis. RNAcentral describes it as "tRNA-Trp". Lineage: Eukaryota; Metazoa; Arthropoda; Insecta; Hymenoptera; Formicidae. The record is from RNAcentral.